This 25-nucleotide non-coding RNA is filed under the name Mus musculus (house mouse). The record is from RNAcentral. Lineage: Eukaryota; Metazoa; Chordata; Mammalia; Rodentia; Muridae.
UGGUACAUAUGGGUUUUCAGCUGCC